This 255-nucleotide long non-coding RNA is filed under the name Coffea arabica (coffee). RNAcentral describes it as "long non-coding RNA (CARA_LNC006591)". The record is from RNAcentral. Lineage: Eukaryota; Viridiplantae; Streptophyta; Magnoliopsida; Gentianales; Rubiaceae.
UAUUUACUUUUCAAAAACAAAAAUCAUUUUUGGGUGACUUGGUACACCCUAACUCUAUACCAAGUGGCGACUCCAUUUUUGAUACAAAAACCCUUUUUGAACUUUAUAUGGCCAAACCGUCGCAUUAUUAAGUCCCAUGGCCUUUAUUUUCAUUUUGCACACGUUCACACACACUCACACACCACACACAUUCAAAAAGUGGGGCGCGACAAUAUUUGAAAACUGGUGCAUGUUUUAGAUGUGGCUAACUUGGAC